Molecule: long non-coding RNA, 726 nt
Organism: Athalia rosae (coleseed sawfly)
Lineage: Eukaryota; Metazoa; Arthropoda; Insecta; Hymenoptera; Athaliidae
Exons: 5
Source: RefSeq, a predicted model, not a curated record
UUAUUGUAAACUUGCCUUGAUUUCUCUUCGAAAUAGUGAUAAAGUUGAACGUUGUAGGUCCCGUGGGAAUGCGGUGGUGGUCUCUGGUCAACAGGUAGAAUACCGACUGGCAGGGGAUUCGAAGUUGCGGAAGAAUAAGACGAAGAAGAAGUGGGGAUUCUUUUUUCACACGAAUAUGAGGACGACGACGGUGCAGGGGUGAGAUGGAAGUUUAUGCCAUAGUGUUCCUCGCAGCACGUAUCCUGAGCGAUACGAAUACAUGUAGGAGGUACGGGGUGGUACCCAGCUGUUAAAGGUCAGCGAAGUUGGCCACGUGGAGGACUAUAAUACACGAUUUUUCAGAUUUUCCAUUGAUUCGAAUGGGAUAAUUCGUGUGGCUGAUGAGUCGAAUGAAGAUAACGGACGAGAUAACCAGAUCCAUCCCCCGAACGUCUCAUUCUUAUUUAUUUCGUUUCAAUUCGCAUCAAACGUCUGAAAAAUCUAAGGUAAUUGCAUUCUUGGUCUCUCGAGAAAAAACAGUCAGAGGAUCAGAGGCUACAGUCUCCAGACAUUUGCAAUUUUGGGGGCUGGACAAUAGACCCAAGCAACAGUGAAGCUACGUGUCAGUUUUAUUUGGAUGUGGAUGCAACGUUGGUUGGAAAAUGCAGAAGAAUCGGUGUACAGAAUUUCCCAGGUGAUUGAUGACACUGUUUGUUGGUAGCCAAGGUGAUUGAAUAGUUCAUGAGG